Molecule: long non-coding RNA, 949 nt
Organism: Bombus pyrosoma
Lineage: Eukaryota; Metazoa; Arthropoda; Insecta; Hymenoptera; Apidae
Exons: 2
Source: RefSeq, a predicted model, not a curated record
UAACGUCACUGCAAUGGAGUCAGCAAAAUGGAGUCAGCAACGGGUUGGUUCGUCAGGAAUGGCAUGAUCGUUCAUUCUGGAGAUUUGUCGAGGACAAAAGGUAAAGAAGAUGGUCGAGACCAACGAUUUCAACGAGAAACAGAGGCGUCAAUCUCCUGCCGAGAGAUUUAUUUAUAACGCGUGAACGCGCGUCCCCGCCUUGGUACAUUAAACCGUGCACGUAUUGACGUCUCACUUGUCGUCUUUUGCACGCAAAACGAUCUCAAUGACGAAUCGCGUGCUGCAGUUCUGGCUUUCAUCGACACCCACUACGGUACCGCCACGGAUUAUGUAAUUCGAAUAAGAAGAAGAAGAACAAGAACAAGAAUAAGAAGAAGAAGAUGAAGAGGACGAAUAACGUGGAAGGAGGAGCGAAAAAGUUGGAAGGCGAUGGAGGAGGAUCGAGAGCCAGCUUCGCCUUAGAGUCGCUGAACCGAGAGGAAUGCAAGAGUGAAAAUGGAGAGUGAAAUAGAGAAGGGAAGAGAAAGGGGGAUGGAGCACACAGCACGAGGUACCCCGAAGAAUUUGCUGGCUGUACCAGAAGCAAAAGGGCUGAGGCUAUAAACGGGUUAUGUAAGAUUGAGUAGCUGCCACGUGUCGGCGGACGUCGCAUUGCUUCUGCACUUCCUGAAUUCACUUUCGCAAUCGACAGACCUAAUGCCUUUCCAAAAGUCUGGAACGUCGAAAUCUUCCAAUUUUCAAAGUCUGUAAUCCGUCAUUCUUCUUCAAAUAGUCUUUGAAAAUGAAUGGAACAUCGUUGAAAAUAUUGUUCACUGACAACAAUGAUCUUCGAGGAUUAUAUAGACAGUAGAAUUGCUUAAAUCUUUUCAAUGUUAAGUAAUGUGGUGAUAUUCCACCGAUAUUCUAUCUUAAUUAAAAGAGAUUAAAUGACUAUAGUUUAGAAACUAAA